Gallus gallus (chicken) is the source of this 3495-nucleotide long non-coding RNA. RefSeq lists it as uncharacterized. NCBI's taxonomy places the organism in Eukaryota, Metazoa, Chordata, Aves, Galliformes, Phasianidae. The record is from RefSeq and is a predicted model, not a curated record. The transcript is spliced from 3 exons.
CAUCCCCUGGGGACCAUCCCUGCAGCCUUCCUGCUGCCCUCCCAUCCUCCUCAAUGCUCUGCUGGCUGCCCUGUGUGCUCACAGCAGGGCGAUGGGAGCCCACCGGGUCACCACACAGCACGCAUAGGGCUCCUUUCAAAGGCUGUGCAAACCUGCAGGGAGCACCGUGCGUGUGCUGUGAUAACACUUGUGCUAUCUCACGGCUCUGAGAAGCGAGCUGGUUGCAUUCAGGGCUCUGUCCCACGGCUACAGCCCAAAGCCCUUCCUUCCCCUUCUCUGAUGGGAAUCCAGCACUGCACUCAGCAGUACCUUUGUUGGCACGCGAGCGCUUCUACAAGUGAAUUGGAAACGUCUCCUUUGCCUCUUUCCUCCUUGCAUAAUACCUGCCGUAUGUUUCUUCCAUCAGCUGCCGGUGAAUGAGCAGCUCUUCAGGCCGGCCAAUUUAAAAUAAUUUGUUUAACUUUGAGUUGGGAGCAAUAGGAUGGAAAUAAAAGAUCGUGGCACAGCGCCCCGCGCUUCAGCCCAAGCAGAGCUGGGAUUGUGCUCUGUGCCGGACAAAGGGCUCCUGCAGAAUGAAUGACCCGAGGCAGACCUCUCAACGACAGCACUCGAAUCAUAAAAACUGCAUAUUUCACAAGUUUCCAACUGAAAACCGGGGGGAGGUUGAAUGGGUUCGGGAGCUGAAAUAGUCUGCCCAAUGCGUAUUAAGGUGCUUUGAAUGGGCAUUGUGGACCUUCCAUUAUACCUCCCUGUAUUUUACAUGAGCUGAGGCCUUCCUCCCGCCUCCUUUGUAUGUUUCUCCACAAAAGGAAAUGAAAAAAACUUUCUCCUUACUAUGGGAAAAGCACGGUUAUAAAACCCAGAGAUAGCACAUAUUUUUCCCAUUGGAGAACUGCCCGAUAACCGCCGAGCUAAAUCAGUCAUUCCAUUCACUUUCAGACCAUCACCUGAACUUCACCAGGAAAUGGGAUAUUUGAAUUGAUAUGGGUGUGGGGACUGGGAAGGCAGCAGGUCUGUGAGCUUCAGUGCAGCUGCACUGCUCUCUGCUGACUGCUGUGCUGUGCUUGAUGGAACGUGCCAGUGGUGUCCGAGGCUCUGGGGAACAAUGCCAUAUCAACAGCAAAAAAGAAACCAGAGCUUUGGUUUCACAGAACUCUCAGUUUGCAACAAUUUGUCUUUUACUUCUUCUGGUGUGAUGUCCCCAUUGUGCCCUCAUCCCUACAGCCUCACCCCAUGCUUCUGCACGGCCACCAGCAGCUGGGAGGCAGCAGGAGGAGCACUGCAAAACACAGCCACAAAACAGCACAAUCCUGGCAGCAGGGAUGUCUGUGUGCUGGGCUGGAUAAUGAAAGCUGUGCUGUGCUCAGGAAGCAAUGGGGCAUUAGUAACCUGGUGGAAAGGGGGAGCCUCGUGCCUGACCUCACGCAGCAUCCAGACUGAUGGCCCUGCUAAGGCUCUGCCAUGGCUCUCACUCACCCACAGAUGGACCUAAUCUCUUGUACUGGUUGAUGAUUUGAAACACCUGCCCACGUAGCCUGUUUAAGCAGUCCUUGCGUCUGGGAGACAAAGAUUUGCAUGUCCUCAGACAUACUCUAUAGAAGUCCUGUGAAACCCGAGUCUAAUUUCAUUACAAGCAGAGCAUGAGGAGGAUGCAGAUCUGAAAUGCUGAUUGAGGGAUGCUGGGAAGGUCAGCUGCAAGUGGUAUGGAAACGGCGGAGGAGAAGGAGGGAAACAGACAGACCAAGGAGAAAUCUGCUCACACUGUGCCACGGAGAGUAAGAUGAAGGCUUUUAUUUACUUGGAAGCCAGUCAGGACAUUAGUUCGGGUAAUAAAGGCUGGCUGGGAAAAGGCACCCCUGAGGCUGAGGCCGUGAAGGCACCUGGCUUUCGGUGAAUGCAUCUUCGCUUUAUGAGCCCCCUGCACCGGGAGAGGGAUUUUUUCCCCAUAUCUUUCUGGGUGAGGAAAAACUUUGAUGGGGAAAAAGAAAUCACGGGAAUCCCCUGUGGGGCAGCAGCCUCCAGAACGCCACCAGAGAGCCUCCUGUGCUCCGCACCCACUGCUUGGGCAGCACUGGGAGAAGCCCACCCGCAGCAGGCAAUGGGCUCAUGGCUUGUAGGAGGGAGAGGAGCCAGGUUUUGCUUUCUGCUGUACCUUUGUUUUAGAUAAAACUGCAGGCAGAUGCAUCUACUACCUGCCUGUUUCCCUGAUGUGGUGAUGGCGUGGGGCAGUGCAUCCUCCUGGUUUUGCUCAGGGGAAGCAGAUCCUGCAACGUGGCCAGGAGCAGCGGGAGAGCAGCAAGAGCUGGGGGUCAGCCCACAUCCAAAGUGCACAAAUCAGACAGCACCUUUGCUGCUGCCCUUGUUGCUCCCGUGCUGCUCCCUGCUAUCCCAGUGCCCCCUGGUACCUCUGCAGAGCAAGGUGCCAGCCCUGCUGGGCAAACACACCGCCUGCACAAUAGCUGUUAGGAGCAAACUUCUUCCUAUCCAUGCCGGGUGCGGAUGGAGGAGUUCUGGGGUGUUCAUUACUACAUCUCAGCCCUGGAGCCCCCCAGGGGCCUCUGAGAGGAGAAAACAAAUGAAGCUGCGCUCGUUGACCGUAACACAAAUUGACUGCUGCUUGUGCUGAUGUUUUCGACAUAAUUCAUUUCAGCUCAAGCAUGUUGGCUAUCUGCAUAAUUUCUCCUUGAGUAGUUUUACUGCCAUAUGGGACACUGCGGACCUCGGGCUGCUGCUCUGCCUGUAACCCCCCUUGCUGGAGUGAUGCUCAGAAUGCGUGGUCCUGCAGCCCCCAAAGUGCCAUCACGAGGGCCGGAGCUGCAGGUGGGGCCCAGGGCUGUAGGGGCUCUGCACACCUCACAGGGCAGCCCUGUGCUGCAGGAAUGAGCUUUGAGGGGGCGGAGAGGAUUUAACCUCUGAAGCUGGGUGUUUUCACCAGCAUUGAUUUGAGCUUUGAAGGUAGGAGGGCACACAAGGAAAAGGGCCAGCUGAGCCCUGCUGCUCACGAGGGCCUCAGAACCUCUUUGCAAAGCCCGUCCUUUACUGCUCAGCCUUAAUGCAAAGCAUAACCUCUAGCAGUGUUUGCUGCAGUUAGCGUUGUUGACAAGCAGUCUUUCAACGCAGACCUUGUGUCUUAAUUAAAUGGAAUUUGUUUCAGCAAAUAAUGCUUGUCAGAAGCACUUCUUUUUGCCGCAGGACUCUUACAAAGAUGCCAUCAGACAUUUCGAUAAGCAGCCAUCUGUGUCUCAGCGUUCCGACGGCUCCACGUGAAGGCAGACUCAUUCUUGCCAGGCCAAAUUUGUAAUUAUGAAUGACAGAGGAACAGCAGAGCCGUUGGAAUGGAGCACUGUGCCCCAGGACAGCAGCAGCUCACCCCUCCCAGCCCUCAGUGCCCCAAACCCACACAGCUGAGUGCAUUGUAAGAAGCCAUGGAGUGCAGACUGCAAAAAGGGGGGGCUCUGCAGUCACCAACCACCCCAAAAGGAUAAAGCAGACAAC